GAAAUGCGAUAAGUAAUGUGAAUUGCAGAAUUCAGUGAAUCAUCGAAUCUUUGAACGCACCUUGCGCUCCUUGGUAUUCCUUGGAGCAUGCCUGUUUGAGUAUCAUGAAAUCUUCAAAGUAAAUCUUUUGUUAACUCAAUUGGUUUCUACUUUGGUAUUGGAGGUCUUUGCAGCUUCACACCUGCUCCUCUUUGUUCAUUAGCUGGAUCUCAGUGUUAUGCUUGGUUCCACUCGGCGUGAUAAGUUAUCUAUCGCUGAGGACACUGUAAAAGGUGGCCAAGGUAAAUGCAGAUGAACCGCUUCUAAUAGUCCAUUGACUUGGACAAUACUUUUAUGAUCUGAUCUCCAAUCAGGUAGGACUACCCGCUGAACUGAAG
RNAcentral lists this unclassified non-coding RNA (377 nucleotides) under plant metagenome. Its description in RNAcentral is "partial contains 5.8S ribosomal RNA, internal transcribed spacer 2, and large subunit ribosomal RNA". The stretch from base 1 to 105 matches the Rfam family "5.8S ribosomal RNA", at positions 50 to 154 of the family's 154-position model. The record is from RNAcentral.